UCCACGCCCUAAACGAUGAACACUAGUCGUCGGGAUGCUUGUCAUCUCGGUGAUGCACUUAACAGAUUAAGUGUUCCGCCUGGGGAGUACGGUCGCAAGAUUAAAACUCAAAGGAAUAGACGGGGACCCGCACAAGUGGUGGAGCAUGUGGUUUAAUUCGAAAAUACGCGAAGAACCUUACCUAGCCUUGACAUUGAUUGAAUUUUCCAGAUAUGGAGAAAUGCCCCUCGGGGAACAUGAAAACAGGUGCUGCACGGCUGUCGUCAGCUCGUGUCGUGAGAUGUUGGGUUAAGUCCCG
This 298-nucleotide ribosomal RNA is filed under the name uncultured bacterium. RNAcentral describes it as "partial 16S ribosomal RNA". It matches the Rfam family "Bacterial small subunit ribosomal RNA", at positions 794 to 1089 of the family's 1533-position model. The record is from RNAcentral.